AACGAACGCUGGCGGCAUGCCUAACACAUGCAGGUCGAACGAAGCCUUCGGGCUUAGUGGCGCACGGGUGCGUAACGCGUGGGAAUCUGCCCUUGGGUUCGGAAUAACAGUUAGAGAUGACUGCUAAUACCGGAUGAUGUCUUCGGACCAAAGAUUUAUCGCCCAAGGAUGAGCCCGCGUAGGAUUAGGUAGUUGGUGGGGUAAUGGCACACCAAGCCGACGAUCCUUAGCUGGUCUAAGAGGAUGAUCAGCCACACUGGGACUGAGACACGGCCCAGACUCCUACGGGAGGCAGCAGUGGGGAAUAUUGGACAAUGGGCGAAAGCCUGAUCCAGCAAUGCCGCGUGAGUGAUGAAGGCCUUAGGGUUGUAAAGCUCUUUUACCAGGGAUGAUAAUGACAGUACCUGGAGAAUAAGCUCCGGCUAACUCCGUGCCAGCCGCCGCGGUAA
This 449-nucleotide ribosomal RNA is filed under the name uncultured bacterium. Its description in RNAcentral is "partial 16S ribosomal RNA". It matches the Rfam family "Bacterial small subunit ribosomal RNA", at positions 29 to 523 of the family's 1533-position model. The record is from RNAcentral.